RNAcentral lists this non-coding RNA (28 nucleotides) under Mus musculus (house mouse). The record is from RNAcentral. Lineage: Eukaryota; Metazoa; Chordata; Mammalia; Rodentia; Muridae.
UCACACACUGUGGUUGCUAAAUUAAUGU